Molecule: transfer RNA, 65 nt
Filed under: Calliptamus italicus (Italian locust)
Lineage: Eukaryota; Metazoa; Arthropoda; Insecta; Orthoptera; Acrididae
Description: tRNA-Cys
Source: RNAcentral
GGCCUUAUAUUCAAUUAUGAUUCUAGACUGCAAUUCUAGAGGUGUAAAAAUCUUUACUAAGGCCU